GGAGCUGUGCCUGAAAAAAGGACCACUUUGAUAGAGUGUUUUAUGUGGGUUAAAGUCCCACCACCUCCU
RNAcentral lists this transfer RNA (69 nucleotides) under Liparis chefuensis. Its description in RNAcentral is "tRNA-Ile". It matches the Rfam family "tRNA". From Rfam's summary of the family: Transfer RNA (tRNA) molecules are approximately 80 nucleotides in length. Their secondary structure includes four short double-helical elements and three loops (D, anti-codon, and T loops). Lineage: Eukaryota; Metazoa; Chordata; Actinopteri; Perciformes; Liparidae. RNAcentral also lists the same sequence under 1 other name. The record is from RNAcentral.